RNAcentral lists this unclassified non-coding RNA (328 nucleotides) under soil metagenome. RNAcentral describes it as "partial contains 5.8S ribosomal RNA, internal transcribed spacer 2, and large subunit ribosomal RNA". The stretch from base 1 to 120 matches the Rfam family "5.8S ribosomal RNA", at positions 35 to 154 of the family's 154-position model. The record is from RNAcentral.
GAUGAAGAACGUAGCGAAAUGCGAUAAGUAAUGUGAAUUGCAGAAUUCAGUGAAUCAUCGAAUCUUUGAACGCACAUUGCGCCCCUUGGUAUUCCGAGGGGCAUGCCUGUUCGAGCGUCAUUAUAAUCCUUCAAGCUCAGCUUGGUGUUGGGGCCUGCUGUAACUGGUAGCCCUUAAAAUCAGUGGCAGUGCUAUUACGCUCUAAGCGUAGUAAUUCUUCUCGCUAUAGUGUGUAGUGAGCGCUUGCCAGAACCCCAAACUUUUAUAUGAUUGACCUCGGAUCAGGUAGGGAUACCCGCUGAACUUAAGCAUAUCAAUAAGCGGAGGA